Molecule: ribosomal RNA, 406 nt
Filed under: uncultured bacterium
Lineage: Bacteria
Description: partial 16S ribosomal RNA
Rfam family: Bacterial small subunit ribosomal RNA
Source: RNAcentral
AUUGAACGCUGGCGGCAGGCCUAACACAUGCAAGUCGAGCGAGCGGCGGACGGGUGAGUAAUGUCUGGGAAACUGCCUGAUUGAGGGGGAUAACUACUGGAAACGGUAGCUAAUACCGCAUACCCUCAGAUGUGCCCAGAUGGGAUUAGCUAGGAGGUGGGGUAAAGGCCUACCAAGGCGACGAUCCGGAACUGGUCUGAGAGGAUGAUCCGUGAAACUGGAACUGAGACACGGUCCAGCCUCCUACGGGAGGCAGCAGGGGGGAAUAUUGGACAAUGGGCGAAAGCCUGAUCCAGCCAUGCCGCGUGUGUGAAGAAGGUCUUCGGAUUGUAAAGCACUUUAAGUUGGGAGGCGUUACCAACAGAAUAAGCACCGGCUAACUUCGUGCCAGCAGCCGCGGUAAUAC